Molecule: RNA transcript, 1881 nt
Organism: Athalia rosae (coleseed sawfly)
Lineage: Eukaryota; Metazoa; Arthropoda; Insecta; Hymenoptera; Athaliidae
Gene name: methylenetetrahydrofolate reductase
Exons: 6
Source: RefSeq, a predicted model, not a curated record
AUACAACCCUAGAUAAUUAUAGUGAUAAGACAAACAUCCUGAUGACUCAACCGAUUCCUUUAUUGUAUCAUAAACUGCUUCAUUGCUUUUUUUCAAUGAUUUGGAUGGGACCAAUAUCUGAAAUGAAGUCAUAUCGCACUUGGAGCAUAGCUUCAAGUGCGUCUUACAACGAUACAACUACGCAAUUACAUAGUUCUCCAAUGAGAAUAUUCGCGAGAAAAAACUUGUUGCAUUAUUGCAACCAUUGCGGUUGCACGAUUUCACUGCAGUCUACCAGUUGCAGCCGCUUGGCGAUCAUACGGCGCUGAGGUACAAAUCGUUCUCUAAUUUUCCCCCAGUUUUGCCCUGGAUCUGAUAAUUCGAUUAUUAUGUCAGAUUGCCCAAUAAAUAUCCGGAGACAGAGAUAGUGGCAUUGUAUGUAAUACUUUGAAACCACGCCCCAUGAUCAAAAUCGCUAAAAAUGCUCGUGGCUUAUCCAGCUAUUGGAUAGUGACAAAAUUUCCUGCUGGUGAGUACGGCACGGAGAUCAUACCUUCGACAAAAUAUGCAUUGCUCUAAGAAUUUCAGCUGCUAUGGAGAGGUAUUUGACAACGAAAAUGUCAGGAUAUCAGUUAUGAUAGAGCAAAAAAUUUUGAAGAACGAAAAGUUCUGUAGUUUUGAAGUUUUUUCGGCGCUAAACAUCACGGAAGAAACUUGCGAGCAAUUAUUUGCAGGCUUGGAAUCAUGCUGUCCCUUAUUUUAUUCCAUCACUUGGCAUGGGAGGAACCAAUUACUUAUGGAAAACCAAUCCUCAUUAAAGUAUUUUCUUAAAUUUCCCAACAUCACCCUACUUCAUCUCACUGCGAGAGGAUUGAAUAAACAAGAUGUGAUGCACGUUUUGAAAAGUGCUCUGGAUGUUGGAAAAACAAACAUUUUCGCUCUUCGGGGAGAAACCGAGAUGCUGGAUGAGGAAUUAGCUGCAGUUGAUUUUCCUUAUGCUGUUGAUCUUGUGAAGUUCAUACGAUCCCAAUUUGGCUCCAAGUUCUCAAUUUGUGUGGCAGGAUACCCACAACAACACCCAGAUUCAUCUUCAAAGGAAUCAGAUCUUAGUUAUCUAAAGGCCAAAGUAGACGCUGGAGCAGAUUUUAUCAUAAGUCAGAUAAUAUUUGAAUCAGAAUCCUUUAUCGAGUUUGUAAAAAACUGCAGACGGAUAGGAAUUCGAGUACCCAUAAUUCCUGGCAUAAUACUAUUGUCAAGCUACGAUUCAUUGCUUAACAUGUCAAAGCGUUGUAAAGCCGAUAUCCCUCAGAAAAUAUUGCAAGACCUAGAACUCAUGAAAGAAGACGACGCUGCUAUCCAAGAAUAUGGAAUCAACUUAUCAGUGAAACUCGUCGAAGAAAUCUUCAAAAGUGGAACAUCUAUUGGAAUUCAUAUAUUUACAUUAAAUAGAUUUCACCUAGCUCUGGAAUUUUGUAAACGUGUUGGCUUAUGUGAAGCAAAAACAAAUUCAAACGUACGAUUCAACACCGCAUUGAAGUGAGGAGCGUAACCUGUCGAGAAUUUUUGAUGAAAAGUGAACCUUUUCAUUAUCACUGAAAGAUAUGUCUUUGCUGAAAGAUACCGGAUGUGUCGUGAUGGCGAAUAACGAGUGACGCGCCGCACAUUACGUAGACGCAACCGAUAGACGCAAAGUUUCGCGGAUGCGCACAGGAUCAUUGCGCAUGGCGCUUGCCCGACCUUCUGCAGACGCCAAGUGUCCAUCGAGCGCAUCGUCUCCCUGAGUUGGGCGCCAGACCUCCGAGUAGUCGGCCAGAUACCGUGAGCGCAGUGAAACAGGACUUAACCCCCAAGAAAACCAUGGCACUAUUUCGAUUUUCGGCUAAACGGUGCCUCGAAGCACAG